AUUAAUGUAUGCCCCAAAUUAUAACUAAAGCCUACUUGCUAUUACUGCUUCAAUGUUACACAGCUACCAAAUUCUUACUUGUAUGUACAGCAAUUCUUUGAAACAGGCAGCAAGAUGCAUGAAAAAUCCGCUUUGGGGAUUAACGCAUGGUUUAUAAACCAUAGAGAGCAACCACCCAAAAAAGGGAAGGAAGGGAACUGAGAAGAAUUGUAAUUGCCGA
RNAcentral lists this unclassified non-coding RNA (220 nucleotides) under Hevea brasiliensis (rubber tree). The record is from RNAcentral. Lineage: Eukaryota; Viridiplantae; Streptophyta; Magnoliopsida; Malpighiales; Euphorbiaceae.